UGAUUUCAUGUGAAUAGUGAUUGCCCUUUGCCAUGGCAAUGGAUGGGAAAGUAUAAAAAAAAAAUUGCUAGGGCAGGCACUAUUCACAUGAAUAGUAAUAGCUCUUGCUUGCCCUUACCCUUUGCCGUGACAAAUGAGUGAAAGUUCUCUUAGUGUAAAACAAAAUCGAAGAACUAUUAAGGAAAAAAAAGAAGAAGAAAAAAAAUUCGCAAAAAUUAGGAAAAAAAUCUGCAGAGAUCGUAAAAAAAGAAGAAAGGAGAAGCAUAAAUAAGGAUAGUUGAUUUUGAUCUACCAUUGUCCAUAGUUUUCUGGCUGCAUAAGGUGUUCUUUUCUCUGAAGUGGAGCAGACUCCAACAACAAAAGGAACAAAA
RNAcentral lists this long non-coding RNA (371 nucleotides) under Prunus persica (peach). RNAcentral describes it as "long non-coding RNA (PPER_LNC004464)". The record is from RNAcentral. Lineage: Eukaryota; Viridiplantae; Streptophyta; Magnoliopsida; Rosales; Rosaceae.